UUGUUUAAUACUCUUUAAAAUGUGUGGGGAUUGAGUUACUAAUAUUAUAAUGCAUAUUAAAAGGAUAAAUAAAUGGCAUCGCCAAUUUUUUGUUCAUUUAUUCAAUUUAUAAGGUUUUCCAUCGGUAAAAAAAAUGAAUAAAUCAUAUCAAUGUAGUUUACGUCUCUCUAGAAUAGAACUGAAAAAAUGAGAAAGAAAUAUGAUGAAUAAUCAUGUCUUUCAAAUUUAUUCGUUCGAUUAAGUUUAACUUAUCUUUAAAGUUUUUUUUCUCUAUCUCAAUUUCAAGUUUAAGAAUAAUUGACAGUUUUUUAAAAAGUUCCUUUGAAUUAGUAUAUAAAAAGAGAGUUACGUAAAAAUAAAAUGAGCAAUGGAGACAAAAAUAAUAAAAUACAAAAAUGAAAAUAAUGUGCCUUAGAAAUUCGAAAAAA
Molecule: long non-coding RNA, 428 nt
Filed under: Solanum tuberosum (potato)
Lineage: Eukaryota; Viridiplantae; Streptophyta; Magnoliopsida; Solanales; Solanaceae
Description: long non-coding RNA (STUB_LNC008803)
Source: RNAcentral